GAUGAACGCUAGCGGCAGGCCUAAUACAUGCAAGUCGAACGGUAACAUUGGUGCUUGCACCAGAUGACGAGUGGCGCACGGGUGCGUAACGCGUAUGCAACCUACCUUUUACUAGAGUAUAGCCCAGAGAAAUUUGGAUUAAUCCUCUAUAACAUCUUUUAAUUUCAUGAUUUUAAGAUUAAAGUUUUAACGGUAAAAGAUGGGCAUGCGUCCUAUUAGUUUGUAGGUGAGGUAACGGCUCACCUAGACUACGAUAGGUAGGGGCCCUGAGAGGGGGAUCCCCCACACUGGUACUGAGACACGGACCAGACUCCUACGGGAGGCAGCAGUAAGGAAUAUUGGACAAUGGACGAAAGUCUGAUCCAGCCAUGCCGCGUGCAGGAUGACAGCCCUACGGGUUGUAAACUGCUUUUAUACAGGAAGAAACCUUUCCACGUGUGGAAAGCUGACGGUACUGUAAGAAUAAGGAUCGGCUAACUCCGUG
This 484-nucleotide ribosomal RNA is filed under the name uncultured bacterium. RNAcentral's name for it is "bacterial SSU rRNA". It matches the Rfam family "Bacterial small subunit ribosomal RNA", at positions 28 to 507 of the family's 1533-position model. The record is from RNAcentral.